Molecule: ribosomal RNA, 1291 nt
Filed under: Pristimantis w-nigrum (Zurucuchu robber frog)
Lineage: Eukaryota; Metazoa; Chordata; Amphibia; Anura; Strabomantidae
Description: partial large subunit ribosomal RNA
Rfam family: Bacterial large subunit ribosomal RNA
Source: RNAcentral
UCUCGAGAAACGAAUUUUAGUUCAACCUAAAGUAAACAAAAACAUGUAAAUUAUACCUUACUUUAAAGUAAUUCAAAUAAGGUACAGCCUAUUUGAUACAGGAUUCAACCUUUACCAACGGGUAACAAUUAACUAACACCCCUUAAGUGGGCCUAAAGGCAGCCAUCUUGUUAAAAGCGUUAAAGCUUAGUCGUGUUAAUUUUAAUAAAUACUACACUAUUGACCCCUUCACCACUACUGAGAACUUCUAUAAAAUAUAGAACCUUUUAUGCUAAAACUAGUAACAAGAGGAAACACCUCUCUAUCAUGCAAGUAUAAACCAGAAAGAAUUACUCACUGGUAUUUAACAUAUAAAAUAGUAACUCCUCCUAGAAAACCCUAUUAUUAUACAUAAUGUUAAUCUAACACUAGAGCAUCUCAAGAAAGAUUAAAAGAAAAAGAAGGAACUCGGCAAAUAUUUACCCCGCCUGUUUACCAAAAACAUCACCUCUUGACUUUAUAAGAGGCCCAGCCUGCCCAGUGACUCUUGUUUAACGGCCGCGGUACCCUAACCGUGCGAAGGUAGCGUAAUCACUUGUCCUAUAAAUGAGGACUAGUAUGAAAGGCUUCACGAGGGUUAAACUGUCUCCUUUCUCUAAUCAGUAAACCUAAUCUCCCCGUGAAGAAGCGGGGAUAACCCUAUAAGACGAGAAGACCCCAUGGAGCUUUAAACGCUAUAGCAUAUGCCACAUUUAUCAUUUCUCCCCGGCACUCACACCCGUGACAUUCUGUUUAAGUGUUUUUGGUUGGGGUGACCGCGGGGAAUAACCUAUCCCCCGCGAUGAAGAGGUAUACCCUUAAACUACAAGUCACAACUUUAAGUAUCAGAAAACUGACAUACUUUGACCCAAUUCUUUGAUCAACGGACCAAGUUACCUGGGGAUAACAGCGCAAUCCACCUCGAGAGCCCUUAUCGACAGGUGGGCUUACGACCUCGAUGUUGGAUCAGGGUAUCCUGGUGGUGCAGCCGCUACCAAUGGUUCGUUUGUUCAACGAUUAAAACCCUACGUGAUCUGAGUUCAGACCGGAGUAAUCCAGGUCAGUUUCUAUCUAUAAUAGAGCUUUUUUCAGUACGAAAGGAUCAAAACAGCGUGACCUAUGUACACACAAGUCACAGUUAAUCAUUUUAGACUAACUCUUAAAAAAUAAUUAACCUAUCCCUCCCCCUUCUAAAGAAGAACAGUUAGCGUAGUAUACCCCGGCUUUACAAAAGAUCUAAGUCCUUUUCAUGGGGGUUCAAGUCCCCUCACUA